AGUGUAUCGGUUGUGACCACCUGUUGCAUUGCCGAGUAGCUAUGUUCGGAAGAGAUAAGCGCUGAAAGCAUAUUAAGCGCGAAGCCCACUCCAAGAUUAGAAUUCCCUAUGAGAUCCCAGAAAGAAGAUCUGGUUGAUAGGCGCAAGAUGGAAGUACCGCAAGGUAUGGAGUCGAAGCGUACUAAUAGAUCCAUCGCCUUUUUAU
Molecule: ribosomal RNA, 205 nt
Filed under: Nanosynbacter sp.
Lineage: Bacteria; Bacillati; Minisyncoccota; Nanosynbacteria; Nanosynbacterales; Nanosynbacteraceae
Description: Candidatus Nanosynbacter sp. partial 23S ribosomal RNA
Rfam family: Bacterial large subunit ribosomal RNA
Source: RNAcentral